RNAcentral lists this long non-coding RNA (427 nucleotides) under Homo sapiens (human). RNAcentral's name for it is "non-protein coding lnc-ZNF705E-1:18". Lineage: Eukaryota; Metazoa; Chordata; Mammalia; Primates; Hominidae. The record is from RNAcentral.
UGAAGGCAAAGGGCCUCUGAGGGAGUAUUACAGUCGCCUCAUCCACCAGAAGCAUUUCCAGCACAUCCAGGUCUGCACCCCUUGGCUGGAGGGCCGAGGACUACCCCCGCUUAGGGUCGGUGGACCUGGGUGUCUGUCUGGACACAUCCUCCAGUGGCCUGGACCUGCCCAUGAAGGUGGUGGACAUGUUCAGGAGCUGUUUGCCUGCGUGUGCUGUGAACUCUCUGCAGCUUACAUGAGCUGGUGAAACAUGAAGAAAAUGGCCUGGUCUUUGAGGACUCAGAGGAACUGGCAGCUCAGAGAUGCUUUUCUCAAACUUUCCUGAUCCUGCAGGCAAGCUAAACCAGUUCUGGAAGAACCUGCGGGAGUCGCAGCAGCUCUGAUGGGAUGAGAGCUGGGUGCAGACUGUGCUCCCUUUGGUUAUGGA